UUAAUGAAGAUUUCUCCAGUGCCCACGAAGCACUCACUUGACAGCAUCGGCAGCUGAGGGAACAGAAGCAGCCGUGCCAGUGCCUGGCUUGCCUGGCAACCCUGACCAAGGGUGAGGCUGAAGAGGUGCUGGCUCCAGUAGAGAGGAUGACUGCCUGUCUGGGGAAAGCCACCAGGCUCGAAAGCAGGCCAUGGCAAAGCUGAUGGGGAUGACUACAGGGUCCAACAUGAAAGCUGGUGUGCUAGAGAGGCUUAAGAAGACCCUGGAUGGACCCUGUGAAUUCUGUCACAAGGACUGGGGACAAAUCAGGAACAGAGUGAUUUGAGAGACCAUCCUUCACCAAGAUGCUUGUGGACAUCUGCCUAUUUCCACUCACAUGUUUGUGUCUCGUGUGAUAUUCUAUCUUGUGAACCUCCCUGUAAGCAAUUUUGCUGUCAGUUAAUUUGCAGCUACAAACCUAGGUAGCGGCAUUAAACAAAAGUUUAUUUUGCUGUCAGUUAAUUUGCAGCUACAAACCUAGGUAGCGGCAUUAAACAAAAGUUGCAUAGCCUGAUUUUACAUUAAAGAAAUGUAGAUCAUUGGAUCAUUCCAGGCUCGCCAUGGCUUGACCUCACUUGGGCUUUUUUGUUGUUGUUCUUUUUUUUUUAGUACUUUCCUUAUUACGGCAAGAUUGUGUUCAUGUGUGUACAGUAGUCAAAAUGACAGAAAACUAUACACAAGAUCAAGUCUCCUUGAUUCCCAUUUUCCCAGGCCUAUAUUUGUUACCUUUACUUUUGUAUUUUAUUAUUAUUAACUCUCAAUAGUUUCCUUAUAGUUUUACAUUUCAUGUAUUAAUAUAGCACAGUACCCUCUUCUCCUUGCCACUUUGUGAAAUGUGCUCUGUGUUAAUUUAAAUUUAGCAAUAUUCAUAAAGGGAGGGGAGCCUGAUUAGACAACAGCAUGGGACUAGGGGAGAGAAGAAAAUAAAAUGAAGGGUAAUUGUGGGGUUAGAUAUCAUCAAAAUAUUUAACAUGCAUGGAUGAAAGUAACACAUUCAAACCCAAUAUUUUGUAAAAGUGUAUGUACCUAAUAAAAACUUUAUGAAAUACCUA
Cavia porcellus (domestic guinea pig) is the source of this 1091-nucleotide long non-coding RNA. RefSeq lists it as uncharacterized. Lineage: Eukaryota; Metazoa; Chordata; Mammalia; Rodentia; Caviidae. The record is from RefSeq and is a predicted model, not a curated record. The transcript is spliced from 2 exons.